ACGAACGCUGGCGGCAUGCCUAACACAUGCCAGUCGAACGAGACCUUCGGGUCUAGUGGCGCACGGGUGCGUAACGCGUGGGAACCUGCCCUUAGGUUCGGAAUAACUCCCCGAAAGGGGUGCUAAUACCGGAUAAUGUCUUCGGACCAAAGAUUUAUCGCCUUUGGAUGGGCCCGCGUUGGAUUAGCUAGUUGGUAGGGUAAAAGCCUACCAAGGCGACGAUCCAUAGCUGGUCUGAGAGGAUGAUCAGCCACACUGGGACUGAGACACGGCCCAGACUCCUACGGGAGGUAGCAGUGGGGAAUAUUGGACAAUGGGCGAAAGCCUGAUCCAGCAAUGCCGCGUGAGUGAUGAAGGCCUUAGGGUUGUAAAGCUCUUUUACCCGGGAUGAUAAUGACAGUACCGGGAGAAUAAGCUCCGGCUAACUCCGUG
This 432-nucleotide ribosomal RNA is filed under the name uncultured bacterium. RNAcentral's name for it is "partial 16S ribosomal RNA". It matches the Rfam family "Bacterial small subunit ribosomal RNA", at positions 29 to 507 of the family's 1533-position model. The record is from RNAcentral.